Cucurbita maxima (winter squash) is the source of this 95-nucleotide long non-coding RNA. RefSeq lists it as uncharacterized. The record is from RefSeq and is a predicted model, not a curated record. Lineage: Eukaryota; Viridiplantae; Streptophyta; Magnoliopsida; Cucurbitales; Cucurbitaceae. The transcript has 3 exons.
UAAAAGGCGGUAGGAACUAGAAUGAACAGGGCAGUAGCAAUAAAUGCGAGAAUAGAGACUUCCAUAAUCUCAUAGUUUAAUUUUUUAUUCGAAUU